UACGUAGGCAGCGAGCGUUGUUCGGAAUUACUGGGCGUAAAGAGUGUGUAGGCGGUGCUCCCAGUCUGUUGUGAAGUCUCCCGGCUUAACUGGGAGGGUGCAGCGGAAACUAGAGUGCUAGAGGGUGGGAGAGGUAAGCGGAAUUCCUGGUGUAGCGGUGAAAUGCGUAGAUAUCAGGAGGAACACCUGUGGUGUAGACAGCUUACUGGACCACUUCUGACGCUGAGACACGAAAGCGUGGGUAGCAAACAGG
RNAcentral lists this ribosomal RNA (253 nucleotides) under uncultured bacterium. Its description in RNAcentral is "partial 16S ribosomal RNA". It matches the Rfam family "Bacterial small subunit ribosomal RNA", at positions 524 to 776 of the family's 1533-position model. The record is from RNAcentral.